Molecule: RNA transcript, 3845 nt
Organism: Anolis carolinensis (green anole)
Lineage: Eukaryota; Metazoa; Chordata; Lepidosauria; Squamata; Anolidae
Gene name: intelectin-2
Exons: 4
Source: RefSeq, a predicted model, not a curated record
AGAUGUUGGAGGAACAAUAACAAGUUUAUUCAGGCACAGAGUGGUUACAAUUCUCAGAGGCACUUUCAUUAACAGUUACAAUAUUAGUCAAACUCCCUAUAGCGUCAUUUCCUUAACUUAGUCCUCUGCCACUUUUAAACCGUAGUCACCCCUGUGAUAUUCGAUCACAGAUUCUAAGUCACCAAACUUAUUUUAAUCUGACUCAAAAUGAACAAUUGAGUCUCCCUUGAUCCCCUCAACUUAGGAUCAAUCUUCCCUGUGACUCAUCAGACACAGACUGAAAACUCUUAUUUUAAACUCUGCACUUCUUAAACAGAACGACAGUUGGCUCUGCCCACUUCUCCAUGGCAACCAGCUUCUGAGUGUAGAGAAGCAAUAAUUGCAAUACUCACCCCUUUAAAACACAAUGCACAAUUAACAUCUGUAAAUCAAAAAUUCAUACUUCAUUACAACAUCGAAUUCCAGAUUUUUAAUUAAAAGCUUAAGCUUGUUUGUUUUAAUUCUCUGCCAUUGUAAAUUUCUUCUAAUGACCACAAGGGAGCACGCUUCACUUUUACUACCUGCCUCGAUCCGCCAACAUUCAUAUGAGAAAAUUUAGGAACAGAUAUGUUUACAUUGUACAAGUAAUACAAAUAGAUACUAUAUUAACUGACAUAGUUUCUUGCUAUGGAAUCCUUGGAGUUGUGGCUUCCCAAGGUCUUUGUCUUUGGUUGCUGUGGGCUUUGCAGGCUGUAUGACCAUGUUCCAGAAGCAUUCUCUCCUGAAGAGAGAAGACUCUCUCCCACAUCUAUGGGCCUUUUCUUCCACAUCUAUGGCAGGCAUCCUCAGAGGUUGUGAGGCAAGUAGGGUUUAUAUGUGGAAUGAUGACCAAGGUGGGAGAAAGUUUUCUGAGGGAGGCAAGGGUGAAUGCUGCUAAUGGCCACCUUGAUUAGCAUUGAAUGGCCUUGCAUUUUGCUACGAGUUUUCAAUGAAUAUCAAUUCAUUCAACAUAGUCUGUGGUAUAUACUUGAAAAUAAAGCCUGAAAAAGACUGAAAAAGCCCCCCUCGGCUUAUACUCGGGUGAGGGUCCUGGUUGGCUUAUAUUUGGGUCAGCUUUUUAUCAGAGUUGGGCAGUUUUAUCUUAAAUUUGAGCUUUACGUAAAUAUUCAAAAACAUUGAACCUACUGAUUCCUCAAUGUAAUUUUAUUGGUAUCUAUUUUUAUUUCUGAAAUUUACCACCCUCAUACUUGUCAAUGCUUUCCCAGGUUUUUUUUGUAAAAUUAGGUGUCUCGGCUUAUAUUCGGGUCGGCUUAUACUCGAGUAUAUACGGUAAGUAUCACACAAUUAAAUAAGAACAAUAAUUUCAAACCAGGAAUUGGAAAAAAAUUUUUUUUUCCAAUUUUGUAAUCUGCCCUUUGGUUCCCUGUCAAUAAAGCCCUGAACACUGGCAACUUUUCCCUGGAUUUUCUCAACACUGAACCAAGGUCAGUUUUGAUUGCUAAAUAAACAGAUAACGGAUCUAACACAAGUCAGAGAUCAGGUUCUUCUUUCAGUGGCAGCUGUGGACAUUUAACUUGGAAACAGAGACGAAGUUGAGUUCCUCCAAAUAGGAGAAAUGAAGCUGUUAGGGAUUAUCCUGCUUUGCGUGGCUACAUUCCCUAGAAGACUGCAAUGUGAUAGCAACGGCUGUGUCACCUCCUUGAAGCGUGACAUUCUCAAGCUGAUGGUCAAAUGGGAAGAUGCCACCUGCCUCCAGAGCCAGCAAGGGCUGCCCCCGAACCUCCUCCAGACUUUGCCCCGAAGCUGCAAAGAGAUCAAAACAGCCCUGGAAGGAGCUCCCGAUGGGUUGUAUUUCCUGGAAACGGAAGAAGGUGAGAUCUAUCAAACCUUCUGCGACAUGACCACCCAUGGAGGCAGAGCCGGCCCUAGGUAUUUUUCAAGUGUAGGCGAACAGAAUUUUGGCGCCUCUCCAAACCAAUCACUGAAAAAUAAAAGCGUUGGAUAAGCGAAAAUGUUGGAUAAUAAGGAAGUAAAAAGGAAAAGCCUAUAAAACAUCAAAUUACAUUAUGAUUUUAAAAAUUAAGCACCAAAACAUUAUGUUUUACAACAAAUCAAUAGAAAAAGCAGUUCAAUACAUGGUAAUGUUAUGUAGGAAUUACUAUAUUUGCAAAUUUAGCACUAAACAUUGAACAGGGAUAUAGGGCAGUGUGGACUUAGAUAACCCAGAUAGCCCUCAGUAUUUAAAAAAAACCCUCUAAAAUCAGGACAAUAAAUAAAGAACAACACUCUGAAAACAGAAGAAAUCCAGACAGUAAACAAUCAGGGACAGCUAACUCCUCCCAAAAAAAGAUUCUCCCAGGCAAGAAGAAGCCAGGCCUUGAAGCCACAGGGCCAUUAAAUGCUAAUCAAGGUGAUUAAUUACAACAUUCACACCUGCUUCAAAGAAAAGUUCUUUCUCCCACCCUGGACCAUCUACAGAUAUAUAAACCCCACAUACCUAGCUUCCAAGUUCCUACAGACCUCACAAUCUCUGAAGGCCCCAAAGGUGGGCUUGCGUGGUGCGAAGAUGGGUCUGCGCUGGCCGGAAGGCCCGAAAGAGAAGGAAGGAGGUGGAGAGUGGUGCCCUCCUCCCAGGACGAUGGUGCCCCCGGGACAAUGGCGCCACAGGCAAAUGCCUAUUUUGCCUUAUGGUUGGACCGCCUCUGCAUGGAGGCGGCUGGACCUUGGUGGCCAGCAUCCAUGAGAACAACAUCUAUGGGAAAUGCACCCUGGGUGACCGCUGGACCAGCCAACAGGGAAACAACGGCAAUUAUCCAAAAGGAGAAGGAAACUGGGCCAAGAACACCACGUUUGGGACUGCUGUGGCUUCGACCAGCGAUGACUACAAGGUGGGAAGGCAGGAGACCUUUUUUCUUGACAAUGGUUUUUUAUUACGAGGGCUAUCCAGAAAGUAGAUUUAUUACAAGGGCUAUCCAGAAAGUUGGAAUUAAAAAUGAACAAAGUGUAGGAGAAAACAUUACCAUAUGCAGUUGAAAGCCACACCCAAAUACCACUUCUCAACAUAGUUGCCAUUCAAAUCUAGGCACCAUAGCGAUGAAUGAGCUUUGCAACUUCUUCCCCACUAAAUUCUGCCUCUUGCUUCCUCAACCACUUGUUUCCAACAAUGCGUUUUGGCGAUGCUGUGCAGCGUCAAUACGCAGUAAUGUAAUUACUGUAUUUAUGAAUUUAGCACCAAAAUAUCAUGAUAUAUUGAAAACAUUGACUACAAAAAUGCCUUGGAUAAUCCAGAACCUUGGAACCUUGGAUAUACAGUAAGUGAGACUCUACUGUAUAUGGUAUUUCCUGUAUUUUAUAGGCAGUGUGGAAGAGGCCUAAGUGGAACCCUGUCUGUCACCGGGAGCCAUUGUGGCUGAGGGGGUUGCUAUGACACGAAGGAGGCGGGGCCUAAAGGGAGCAGGGCCUGCCCUUCUGACUGGCAGCCAGGAGGAGAACAGCUCUUCCUCAUCCUCUGUAAUUUAUUUUUCUAGGUUUUUUAAAUUGAAAGACACAGAUUAAAUGACUAUGUCUUUUGUGGCCAAAUUUGAUGUGAUUUGGUUUUGUUGUUUACUCCAUAGGAAAAAAAACAAGACUUCAUUGAUGGAGUAUUUCAUCUGUAAUAGGGGUUUCCUCUCUUCCUCCUGCCUACCACCUUAUAAAGCAGUGGUUCCCAAACUUAUUUGGCCUACCAACCCCCUCCAGAAAAAAAAUGACUCAGCGCCCCCUGGAAAGAGGGGCGUGGCUUAGAGGGGUGGGCGUGGCUCAUGCUCAGGAGGGCGGGGCUGAGCUACUCCCCUAUUCCAAGAUGCAGGGUUGCGAGGGGGAGGGCU